RNAcentral lists this long non-coding RNA (2431 nucleotides) under Helianthus annuus (common sunflower). RNAcentral's name for it is "hypothetical non coding rna". Lineage: Eukaryota; Viridiplantae; Streptophyta; Magnoliopsida; Asterales; Asteraceae. The record is from RNAcentral.
UCCCAUUUCAUAAGUCAAACGCAACUUUCUCUCCCUUCGUUUUUCUCUCCCUCUGUUCUCCCUCUCAAAUUCCUUCUACAGAUCUUAAGAUUUCAUAAAAUUUCAUCACCAAAAGCCUAAACACAAAAUUACAUAUGAAAUAGAAAUCUUAAAGAGCAGAAACUCACUAUUUAUUAAAGGAAUUAGGGGUUUUAAAAUGUAGCUCCGUAGAAGAAAAGAGAAGCUCCGGUGUGAGUGAAGAAGGCGAACGAUCCUAAAAACCGAAACGCCCAGCAAGCGUGUUCUUCGUUUUCAUGGAGAAGGUGGUGGCGGCUGAUUUUGAUUGAUCGCCACUAGGGUUUAGAAUUGUUGAUUGGCUUGCUGCAAGCUUCAAUAAAGACCGAUGAGAUUUAUCUACUAGAAGGCUAAGAUGGAGCUUUCAACUUUGAAAGAAGCUAAUAUUAGGUACACAGAUCAAUUGGGAAUUCAUGAUUGCUAUAUCACAAAUCCGAAGUCUUCAUCUUUGCUAAAAUGGAAGUGAUAGAUACUUUGUAUGCUAUACUUUGGGCUGGGGAUUAUAGGGGGCUUGCAUUUGUUAGUUGUUGAUGGCAGAGAGAUAAUGAUUUCGUUCGGCUAAAUACGAGUCUAAUGCUGAAAGAAUAUGGUCAUGCUAUCAAUUUCUUGUCACAAUGAAAGGCUACUGGAGACGGUAGAAAAGUUGAAGGGGAGAUCAAGGAGCAGAAAUCCUAGACCAAGCGAAGCAUGUCGAGUGUGAUUUUUAUACUGAAGCUGAAGACAAUUAUAUUGCGAUGGAGGCAUUAUCCGAGGUUACAUAAGCACUUCCGUAAUUCCUAUUGUUUUCAGUUUUUUUUUUUACAAAUAAUGAAAAGUAAACAACUUAAGCAUAACCUUUUGUACUAGAUUUAAUAUAUUUAGUUUAGAGUAAAUUACAAUUUUGGUCCAUGUGGUUAUAUCACUUUUACCCUUUUAGCUCAAAAAGGAAUCUUUUAACAACUGAGCCCCAACGUCUUUUUUCUAACCCUUUUGGCCCCUAACACUAACCCCAUCCAUUUACUUUUAGGAGCCAAAAGAGUUAGAAAAAAAAGAUGUUGGGGCCAAAAGGGUUAGAAAAAAAGACGUUGGGGGCUUAGAUGUUAAAAGAUUUCUUCUGGCUAAAAGGGUAAAAGUGAUAUAACCAUAGGGGCCAAAAUCGUAAUUUACUCUUUAGUUUAUGUUGGGUUAUAAUGUGCUUGCAGAAGGUGCAAGGAAUACCACCUGGUUGGUUUAUUUUGCUAUUAAUUAAGUUUUUCUUGGAUCUUGAUGAUCUUAAAAGGGGGGAGGAAUGAGAAAAAUUAAAGAAAAUGCCAGUUUAUUUCAGUUUUCAUAUUUGAACUUUUGGUUUUAAUUUUAAGGGCUUUGACCAUGAUCAAUAAAAUAAAAGAGUUUGGUCAGAAAAAUUAUUAAGCUUAUUUUAAAUAGUUUAUUCUUUAGUACUCAGUUAUUUUAAAUAGGAGCAUAUUUCCAUCUUGAGUACGUGAAUGGGUUAACCUGUGAUUUCGUUAAAUAAUUAUGUAUUAAGUUUUGAUGGCAUGAUCGACAUUUUUAAGUGUUACCAUGUGACUGAAAUCUCAGUCAUUUAUAUUCAUUUAUAUUGGGUACUUUUUAAUUUAUGUCAAAGAAGGGAAGAAGAGAUGACAAUCAAUUCUGUACAUUGAUAAGGCUACAAAAUUAAUUCUGCUAUGUCAAGGAUUCAUUUUAUUGUUGUCCGGAUGGGCAUCGGUGGGCAAAACAAACUUCAAAUAACAUUUCACUAUAAAACCCAAGGUGAAUCCACAAGAACAAGUAAUAAAACUUCAUUUAUAUAUUUGCCUUUAUAGUUAAAAUAAAAUAUGUUGCAUUUUAGGUUUGUUUUAAAUAGUAAAGUUGCUUGUUCUUGGUUUCGGUUGAGCUGAGUUGGCUUCGAUUUUUACCGAGCUAUGCUUUGCUUAGCAAUUUAGCUUGAUUUUCAAUUCGAACCUCUCUAAGACAGAUUGGUUUGGAUUUGAAUCAAGCUUGAGUUGGCCGUACGUGGCUCAACUCGGCUUGUUAGCAACCCCAGGUCUAUAUUUAGAUGUUGCUUAUCUCAAUUGAUUAUUUGAUUCUAAUGUCACAUAGUUGAUGUAGUAAACAUGUGUAAACUAUAGCACAACUACCCGUAUAAAAAGAGAGGCCCAUGGAAUUCCAUUUUAUUUUUUAACUCGUUGACUUGAGGGUCAUCAAGUUAAAAUUUUGUUCCACUGGCUGAAGUGUCGUCAAGUUAAAAGUUAAUUUUUUAGCCCAUUGGCUAACCAAAAAUUAAGUUGUGAGUUGGCUUAACCUGAGAGUAAUCGAAAAGUCAGUUGCGAGUUGACUCGAGUUGGCUUAACCCAAGAGUAACCGAAAUUCAGUUGCGAGUCGACUCAACCUCCUACUA